AUCCAGCUGACGAGUCCCAAAUACGACAAAACGCGCGUCAAACUGGAU
RNAcentral lists this non-coding RNA (48 nucleotides) under Schistosoma mansoni. Lineage: Eukaryota; Metazoa; Platyhelminthes; Trematoda; Strigeidida; Schistosomatidae. The record is from RNAcentral.